Juglans regia (Persian walnut) is the source of this 2151-nucleotide RNA transcript. It is a transcript of the gene named beta-hexosaminidase 2-like, with no coding region annotated. The transcript has 4 exons. The record is from RefSeq and is a predicted model, not a curated record. Lineage: Eukaryota; Viridiplantae; Streptophyta; Magnoliopsida; Fagales; Juglandaceae.
CAAAGCAGCAUUGUUGUAAAAAUGGAGUCGAUGCUUGUCAUCAUACGCCUAGCAUUGUGCUUAUUGGCACUUUUUCAACUCUCCUCUGGCUCUGGAAUCAACGUGUGGCCAAAACCAAGGACCUUCUCAUGGCCCAACCCUCAGGCCACGCUGCUCUCACCUGCCUUCGCUAUUGCUGCUCCAAACCACACCUUCCUCUCCUCCGCCGUCGAACGCUACCUCCGCCUUGUCCACACCGAGCACCAUUUUCCCCUUGUCAACCCCUCCGUCAACCUCACCCCCUCCAAUCUUCCUCCUCUCCGCACCCUUUCCAUCGUCGUCUCCGACCUCAAAGCCCCGCUCCAACAUGGAGUGGAUGAGUCCUACAGCCUCUCCAUUCCCACUUCGGGGCCAGCUAAACUUACGGCGAAUACCGCGUGGGGUGCCAUGAGGGGCCUCGAGACGUUCUCGCAGCUCGUCUGGGGCUAUCCCUCUGUGGUGGCGGUGGGCGUGUACGUUUGGGAUGCUCCGCUCUUUGGGCACCGAGGAAUUAUGCUGGAUACGUCUAGGAACUAUUACCCAGUGAAGGAUAUAUUGAGGACGAUCGGGGCGAUGAGUGCCAACAAGCUCAACGUGUUCCAUUGGCACAUCACGGAUUCCCAUUCGUUCCCGCUGGUGGUGCCGUCGGAACCUGAUCUGGCGGCCAAGGGGUCUUAUGGCCCUGAUAUGCAGUACUCCCCCAAUGAUAUAAAGACGAUUGUGCAGUUUGGUUUGGAGCACGGCGUUAGAGUUCUCCCGGAGAUCGAUUCCCCCGGCCAUACGGGAUCGUGGGCGGAAGCUUACCCAGAGAUUGUGGCAUGUGCAAACAUGUUCUGGUGGCCUGCAGGAAGCGAGUGGGCAGACCGGCUGGCCUCUGAACCAGGAACCGGCCAUUUGAACCCCUUGAACCCCAAGACGUACCAAGUCUUGAAAAACGUCAUCCAUGACGUGGCCGCGUUAUUCCCAGAGCCAUUCUUCCACGCCGGAGCGGAUGAGAUCAUUCCUGGUUGUUGGAAAGCCGAUCCAGCCAUCAAUUUCUUCCUCUCAAAUGGUGGAACUCUCAGUCAGCUCCUGGAGAUCUUUGUCAACUCAACUCUCCCUUAUAUUCUAUCCCUUAACCGAACUGUGGUUUAUUGGGAGGAUGUUCUGCUUGAUGACAAUGUCAAGGUCCCAACAACAGUUCUUCCAAGAGAGCAUACAAUUUUACAAACUUGGAAUAAUGGCCCUAGCAAUACCAAGCGGAUUGUUUCUUCUGGGUACAAGACCAUUGUGUCCUCUUCAGACUUCUAUUAUCUGGAUUGUGGGCAUGGUGAGUUUCUGGGGAAUGACAGCCAAUAUAUAGCCGGUGCUAAGUCUAAAGAUGGUGGCUCAUGGUGUGGACCUUUCAAGACAUGGCAGACCAUAUAUAACUAUGAUAUAACGUAUGGGUUGAGCAAGGAGGAGGCCAAACUUGUGUUAGGUGGGGAGGUGGCACUGUGGUCCGAGCAAGCAGAUCGUACGGUUUUAGAUGCAAGGAUUUGGCCUAGAGCUUCAGCAAUGGCAGAGACACUCUGGUCUGGUAACCGGGAUGAGAUGGGUAUGAGGAGUUAUGCAGGGGCAACAGAUAGGUUGAACGAGUGGAGGUAUAGAAUGGUGCAAAGAGGUGUCAAAGCUGAACCGCUUCAGCCACUUUGGUGCGUUAGGAACCCAGGAAUGUGCAACACAGUUCAAGGCUUCUAGCUGGCUAUUUCUUUCUUGUAUGUUAAAAAUGUCAACGACCUUGCAUCUAUUUCUUGGUCAAGAUAGAUGAAAAAAAAAAACCCAAAUCUUGUAAUCGAUUUAUUUCUUCAGUUUCUUCAAUUUACAAUGGACAACAAGCUCCAAUUUGUGGCAUUCAAAAGUGUUGGUGGUGUUAAUUGACAAUGGGAUAGAUUGAGGUCAGACUAACCGAUGGGGCUUCUCUUUAUUCAUUUUGUCGAUCAUUGUUGAGGAAUGGUUUUCCAGAAGAAGUCAGGUUUCCAUUAUUUAGGAUGGGGGUUUCCCUUUCUAUGCAUUUUGAAUUCUGCCAUUUCUUCUGUGUUUUAUUUUUUUUCUCUACAUGACAUAUUUGCGACAAAGCUUCAGGGGAUGUAUAUCAGUCAAUAUGGACCAACU